GACGAACGCUGGCGGCGUGCUUAACACAUGCAAGUCGAACGAUGAACCCGGAGCUUGCUCUGGGGGAUUAGUGGCGAACGGGUGAGUAACACGUGGGCAACCUGCCCCAGACACUGGGAUAACUUCGGGAAACCGAAGCUAAUACCGGAUACGACCACUUCAGGCAUCUGAUGGUGGUGGAAAGUUUUUCGGUCUGGGAUGGGCCCGCGGCCUAUCAGCUUGUUGGUGGGGUAAUGGCCUACCAAGGCGACGACGGGUAGCCGGCCUGAGAGGGCGACCGGCCACACUGGAACUGAGACACGGUCCAGACUCCUACGGGAGGCAGCAGUGGGGAAUAUUGCACAAUGGGCGCAAGCCUGAUGCAGCGACGCCGCGUGAGGGACGAAGGUCUUCGGAUUGUAAACCUCUUUCAGCAGGGACGAAGCGAAAGUGACUGUACCUGCAAAAGAGCACCGGCUAACUACGUG
This 467-nucleotide ribosomal RNA is filed under the name uncultured bacterium. RNAcentral's name for it is "bacterial SSU rRNA". It matches the Rfam family "Bacterial small subunit ribosomal RNA", at positions 28 to 507 of the family's 1533-position model. The record is from RNAcentral.